Molecule: ribosomal RNA, 440 nt
Filed under: uncultured bacterium
Lineage: Bacteria
Description: partial 16S ribosomal RNA
Rfam family: Bacterial small subunit ribosomal RNA
Source: RNAcentral
CCUACGGGUGGCAGCAGUGGGGAAUAUUGCACAAUGGGGGAAACCCUGAUGCAGCGACGCCGCGUGAGUGAAGAAGUAAUUCGUUAUGUAAAGCUCUAUCAGCAGGGAAGAAAAUGACGGUACCUGAGUAAGAAGCCCCGGCUAACUACGUGCCAGCAGCCGCGGUACUACGUAGGGGGCAAGCGUUAUCCGGAUUUACUGGGUGUAAAGGGAGCGUAGACGGCAGUGCAAGUCUGGAGUGAAAGGUGGGGGCUCAACCCCCGGACUGCUCUGGAAACUGUACGGCUGGAGUGCAGGAGAGGUAAGUGGAAUUCCUAGUGGAGCGGUGAAAUGCGUAGAUAUUAGGAGGAACACCAGGGGCGAAGGCGGCUUACUGGACUGUAACUGACGUUGAGGCUCGAAAGCGUGGGGAGCAAACAGGAUUAGAUACCCCUGUAGUC